GAUGAACGCUGGCGGCGUGCCUAAUACAUGCAAGUCGAGCGAACAGACGAGGAGCUUGCUCCUCUGACGUUAGCGGCGGACGGGUGAGUAACACGUGGAUAACCUACCUAUAAGACUGGGAUAACUUCGGGAAACCGGAGAUAAUACCGGAUAACAUGUUGAACCGCAUGGUUCAACAGUGAAAGACGGUCUUGCUGUCACUUAUAGAUGGAUCCGCGCCGCAUUAGCUAGUUGGUAAGGUAACGGCUUACCAAGGCAACGAUGCGUAGCCGACCUGAGAGGGUGAUCGGCCACCCUGGAACUGGGCCACGGUCCAGACUCCUACGGGAGGCAGCAGUAGGGAAUCUUCCGCAAUGGGCGAAAUCCUGACGGGGCAACGCCGCGUGAGUGAGGAAGGUCUUCGGAUCGUAAAACUCUGUUAUUAGGGAAGAACAAAUGUGUAAGUAACUAUGCACGUCUUGACGGUACCUAAUCAGAAAGCCACGGCUAACUACGUG
RNAcentral lists this ribosomal RNA (497 nucleotides) under uncultured bacterium. RNAcentral describes it as "partial 16S ribosomal RNA". It matches the Rfam family "Bacterial small subunit ribosomal RNA", at positions 28 to 507 of the family's 1533-position model. The record is from RNAcentral.